UGGGGAAUAUUGCACAAUGGAGGAAACUCUGAUGCAGCGAUGCCGCGUGAGGGAAGAAGGUUUUAGGAUUGUAAACCUCUGUCUUCAGGGACGAAAAAAGACGGUACCUGAGGAGGAAGCUCCGGCUAACUACGUGCCAGCAGCCGCGGUAAUACGUAGGGAGCGAGCGUUGUCCGGAAUUACUGGGUGUAAAGGGAGCGUAGGCGGGAUCGCAAGUCAGAUGUGAAAACUAUGGGCUUAACCCAUAAACUGCAUUUGAAACUGUGGUUCUUGAGUGAAGUAGAGGUAAGCGGAAUUCCUAGUGUAGCGGUGAAAUGCGUAGAUAUUAGGAGGAACAUCAGUGGCGAAGGCGGCUUACUGGGCUUUAACUGACGCUGAGGCUCGAAAGCGUGGGGAGCAAACAGGAUUAGAUACCCUGGUAGUCCACGCCGUAAACGAUGAUUACUAGGUGUGGGGGGACUGACCCCUUCCGUGCCGCAGCAAACGCAAUAAGUAAUCCACCUGGGGAGUACGACCGCAAGGUUGAAACUCAAAGGAAUUGACGGGGGCCCGCACAAGCAGUGGAGUAUGUGGAUUAAUUCGAAGCAACGCGAAGAACCUUACCAGGUCUUGACAUCGUAUGCAUACCUCAGAGAUGAGUGAAAUCUCUUCGGAGACAUAUAGACAGGUGGUGCAUGGUUGUCGUCAGCUCGUGUCGUGAGAUGUUGGGUUAAGUCCCGCAACGAGCGCAACCCUUACUGUUAGUUGCUACGCAAGAGCACUCUAGCAGGACUGCCGUUGACAAAACGGAGGAAGGUGGGGAUGACGUCAAAUCAUCAUGCCCCUUAUGACCUGGGCCUCACACGUACUACAAUGGCUGUCAACAGAGGGAUGCAAAGCCGCGAGGUGGAGCGAACCCCUAAAAGCAGUCUUAGUUCGGAUUGUAGGCUGCAACCCGCCUACAUGAAGUCGGAAUUGCUAGUAAUCGCAGAUCAGCAUGCUGCGGUGAAUACGUUCCC
Molecule: ribosomal RNA, 998 nt
Filed under: uncultured bacterium
Lineage: Bacteria
Description: bacterial SSU rRNA
Rfam family: Bacterial small subunit ribosomal RNA
Source: RNAcentral